Molecule: ribosomal RNA, 468 nt
Filed under: uncultured bacterium
Lineage: Bacteria
Description: partial 16S ribosomal RNA
Rfam family: Bacterial small subunit ribosomal RNA
Source: RNAcentral
GACGAACGCUAGCGGCGUGCUUAACACAUGCAAGUCGAACGGAAAGGCCCUGCUUUUGUGGGGUGCUCGAGUGGCGAAAGGGUGAGUAACACGUGAGUAACCUGCCCUUGACUUUGGGAUAACUUCAGGAAACUGGGGCUAAUACCGGAUAGGAGCUCCUGCUGCAUGGUGGGGGUUGGAAAGUUUCGGCGGUUGGGGAUGGACUCGCGGCUUAUCGGCUUGUUGGUGGGGUAGUGGCUUACCAAGGCUUUGACGGGUAGCCGGCCUGAGAGGGUGACCGGCCACAUUGGGACUGAGAUACGGCCCAGACUCCUACGGGAGGCAGCAGUGGGGAAUAUUGCACAAUGGGCGGAAGCCUGAUGCAGCAACGCCGCGUGCGGGAUGACGGCCUUCGGGUUGUAAACCGCUUUCGCCUGUGACGAAGCGUGAGUGACGGUAAUGGGUAAAGAAGCACCGGCUAACUACGUG